This 253-nucleotide ribosomal RNA is filed under the name uncultured bacterium. RNAcentral describes it as "partial 16S ribosomal RNA". It matches the Rfam family "Bacterial small subunit ribosomal RNA", at positions 524 to 776 of the family's 1533-position model. The record is from RNAcentral.
UACAGAGACUGCAAGCGUUAUUCGGAUUCACUGGGCGUAAAGGGUGCGCAGGCGGCCAAGUGUGUUAGGCGUGAAAGCCCGGGGCUUAACCCCGGAAUUGCACCUAAAACUACAUGGCUAGAGCAUUGGAGAGGGUAGCGGAAUUCCCGGUGUAGUGGUGAAAUGCGUAGAUAUCGGGAGGAACACCAGUGGCGAAAGCGGCUACCUGGCCCAUUCUUGACGCUGAGGCGCGAAAGCUAGGGGAGCAAACGGG